GGCUUAGCUACCAACCAUAUUGGCUGUUGUGCUUUGUCCGGCUCGCAUGAAACCCCACAAAUGGUGACCCCGACGUGAUCCCUUCUGAAAAAGCGAGGAUUCUAGCCGCGGCAGGAGGCACCGGCUUUUCGGCUCCUGGGCGUCCGAGAGUGACGCAAGUGCGCACAGGUCCCCGGUGGAUCCCGGCCAAGUGGGUAUGUCCGUGGCUACAGCAACCUCGCUCGCCCUUGAACCCAGCGUCUGGAGAACAAGAUCCUGCGCUUGGAGAGGAAGCAUCAGAGGAGGCGAAUGACCCUUUUGUUGCCUGGAAAGAAUCAGCAGCGAAGUCGGCGAAGUGCGACCCUGCAAGAUACGUGUUCAGCCGAUGUUAGCUUAUACAGUCACUCGGAAUAUUUGGCCUUAAUGAAUGCCAUUGCAGGCAUUCCUGGUUUUUCAACUUAUUACACGGUACAAACUUUGAAUGCAUUAGCUUGCUUUGCUGUUAAGGCGCUUAAUGCUACAUCACAGGCAAUUGCUCUUUUAAAUAUGGAACAGCAGGAAUUGAGAGAUGCCAUUUUAGAUAAUCGAGCUGCGAUUGAUUUCUUAUUGCUUAAGCAUCAUAUGGGAUGUGAUUCUUUUAAACAUAUGUGUUGCUUUAACCUUACGGAUAAUAGCCGAUACAUUGAGGAGCGCCUGGAUGAGUUGACUUCUCUCACUGAGCACAUCUGUCAAGAUACCGGGUUUGCGGGAUUUUGGGACUGGCUUACAGGGUGGUUGCCUUCUUUGGGGUGGCUUCGGCAGUUAUUUGGAAUUAUAGGUUUUGUAUGUAUUGGUCUUAUUUGCCUUUGUUGCUGUCUGCAAUGUCUCCCCUCCUUGUUUGAUAUAUUCCGUAAAAUGUAUCGCUCCACCCCCGUUGGGUCACCCCUGUUAAUGAACGAAAAUUGGAUGGAACUACGCAAGUGACCAGUGGUCCGUGUAUUAUGUAAUAAUAAGGGAGGAGAUGUGGGAACAUGGUGUAUUUGUGAGCUAGUUAAGAAUAUUUAUGAGCUAGUUAAGAUCGCGGUGAACUUUUAAUGAACCACUGAGAAAUAGUUUCAGGCUGGAACGUGACCCAGGCAAACUAGCAACACCAGAUCUUGUUGACAACAGACAGCGAACAGCUGUGCUCCAAUCAAGAGGAAGGACGCAUGUGCAUAACCUGUGCUGAGGCUGCUCGACCAACGAGAUGUCUCCGUGAUUGGGUGAUGGACUUUGGAGGGGGUUGAAAAUAUUAUGUAAGAGGAGUGUAUAAAAGCAAUGAGAAAAUAACAGAUAAACUGCUUAGCUAC
Long non-coding RNA from Dermochelys coriacea (leatherback sea turtle), 1307 nucleotides. RefSeq lists it as uncharacterized. The record is from RefSeq and is a predicted model, not a curated record. The transcript has 3 exons. NCBI's taxonomy places the organism in Eukaryota, Metazoa, Chordata, Testudines, Dermochelyidae.